RNAcentral lists this ribosomal RNA (859 nucleotides) under uncultured bacterium. Its description in RNAcentral is "bacterial SSU rRNA". It matches the Rfam family "Bacterial small subunit ribosomal RNA", at positions 21 to 886 of the family's 1533-position model. The record is from RNAcentral.
GGCUCAGGAUGAACGCGGCGGGCGUGCUUAAUACAUGCAAGUCGAACGGUCGACUUCGGUCGAUAGUGGCGAACGGGUGAGUAACGCGUUGGUGACCUGCCCCGAAGCGGGGGAUAACAGACCGAAAGGUCUGCUAAUACCGCAUAAUCUGGUGGAAGAUUAGAAGUCUGCCAGGGAAGCCGGACGUCUCGUAAGAGACGCUGGCGCUUUGGGAGGGGCCUGCGACCCAUCAGCUAGUUGGUAAGGUAACGGCUUACCAAGGCGAUGACGGGUAGGGGACCUGAGAGGGUGACCCCCCACAAUGGAACUGAAACACGGUCCAUACACCUACGGGUGGCAGCAGUAGGGGAUAUUGGUGAAUGGGCGCAAGCCUGAACCAGCAACGCCGCGUGUGCGAUGAAGGCCUUCGGGUUGUAAAGCACUUUUUGCCGGGAAGAGGAAGGACGGUACCGGUAGAAUCAGCCUCGGCUAACUACGUGCCAGCAGCCGCGGUAAAACGUAGGAGGCGAGCGUUAUCCGGAUUUACUGGGUGUAAAGCGCGUGCAGGCGGCAUGGUAAGUUGGGUGUGAAAGCUUCCGGCUCAACUGGGAGAGGUUGCUCAAGACUGCCAAGCUAGAGAGUGGUAAGGGAAGGCGGAAUUCCGGGUGUAGUGGUGAAAUGCGUAGAUAUCCGGAGGAACACCAGUGGCGAAAGCGGCCUUCUGGGCCACGACUGACGCUCAGACGCGAAAGCCAGGGGAGCAAACGGGAUUAGAGACCCCGGUAGUCCUGGCUGUAAACGAUGUGAACUUGGCGGCGGGAGGGUAAAACCUUUCGGUGCCGAAGCAAACGCGAUAAGUUCACCACCUGGGGACUACGGC